Molecule: small nucleolar RNA, 121 nt
Organism: Lolium rigidum
Lineage: Eukaryota; Viridiplantae; Streptophyta; Magnoliopsida; Poales; Poaceae
Product: small nucleolar RNA Z278
Exons: 1
Source: RefSeq, a predicted model, not a curated record
UCCAAUGAUGCCAUGCCCAACAUUUGGAGGUGCGGACGUCUCGAUCCGGUAUUCCUGUUUGCAGGAAGAACCUACCCGUAGUCCCUGUAUCCACUUGACAUUCACGGGCCGAGUCUGAAGA